AACAUGACUUUGAUCUGCGUCCUCAUCUGGACUCUCCUCUGCUGCUGCUUCACAGAGUCCAGAGGACAGAUCACAGUGACUCAGCCUGGAGCAGUGAGCUCUGCUGUGGGAGGAUUUGUGGCCUUAACAUGCAAGACUAGUGAAGACAUUUCUAAGAGUUAUUUAGACUGGUACCAACAGAAAGAUGGAGAAUCUCCUAAACUGCUCAUUUACUAUAUUAGCAGUCGAGAUUCAGGGAUUCCAGAUCGUUUUACAGGCAGUGGAUCAAACUCUGACUUCACUCUGACCAUCAGUGGAGUCCAGGCUGAAGAUGCAGCAGUUUAUUACUGUGCAAGUUGGCACUAUCCUAACAGUCAGUGGGUGUUCACACAGUGA
Molecule: non-coding RNA, 375 nt
Organism: Archocentrus centrarchus (flier cichlid)
Lineage: Eukaryota; Metazoa; Chordata; Actinopteri; Cichliformes; Cichlidae
Source: the annotation of a RefSeq genome assembly